RNAcentral lists this ribosomal RNA (253 nucleotides) under uncultured bacterium. Its description in RNAcentral is "partial 16S ribosomal RNA". It matches the Rfam family "Bacterial small subunit ribosomal RNA", at positions 524 to 776 of the family's 1533-position model. The record is from RNAcentral.
UACGAAGGGAGCUAGCGUUGUUCGGAAUUACUGGGCGUAAAGCGCGCGUAGGUGGCUUUUCAAGUCAGAGGUGAAAUCCCCAGGCUCAACCUGGGAAUUGCCUUUGAAACUGUUAAGCUUGAGUACUGGAGGGGAUGGUGGAAUUUCUAAUGUAGCGGUGAAAUGCGUAGAGAUUGGGAAGAACACCAGUGGCGAAGGCGGCUAUCUGGACGGUUUCUGACGCUAAGACGCGAAAGCGUGGGGAGCAAACAGG